RNAcentral lists this ribosomal RNA (495 nucleotides) under uncultured bacterium. RNAcentral's name for it is "partial 16S ribosomal RNA". It matches the Rfam family "Bacterial small subunit ribosomal RNA", at positions 28 to 507 of the family's 1533-position model. The record is from RNAcentral.
GACGAACGCUGGCGGCGUGCCUAAUACAUGCAAGUAGAACGCUGAAGGAGGAGCUUGCUCUUCUGGAUGAGUUGCGAACGGGUGAGUAACGCGUAGGUAACCUGCCUGGUAGCGGGGGAUAACUAUUGGAAACGAUAGCUAAUACCGCAUAACAGUAGAUGUUGCAUGACAUUUACUUAAAAGGUGCAAUUGCAUCACUACCAGAUGGCCCUGCGUUGUAUUAGCUAGUUGGUGGGGUAACGGCUCACCAAGGCGACGAUACAUAGCCGACCUGAGAGGGUGAUCGGCCACACUGGGACUGAGACACGGCCCAGACUCCUACGGGAGGCAGCAGUAGGGAAUCUUCGGCAAUGGACGGAAGUCUGACCGAGCAACGCCGCGUGAGUGAAGAAGGGUUUCGGAUCGUAAAGCUCUGUUGUAAGAGAAGAACGAGUGUGAGAGUGGAAAGUUCACACUGUGACGGUAUCUUACCAGAAAGGGACGGCUAACUACGUG